Molecule: ribosomal RNA, 1294 nt
Filed under: Escherichia coli
Lineage: Bacteria; Pseudomonadati; Pseudomonadota; Gammaproteobacteria; Enterobacterales; Enterobacteriaceae
Description: partial 23S ribosomal RNA
Rfam family: Bacterial large subunit ribosomal RNA
Source: RNAcentral
UAGAGAAUACCAAGGCGCUUGAGAGAACUCGGGUGAAGGAACUAGGCAAAAUGGUGCCGUAACUUCGGGAGAAGGCACGCUGAUAUGUAGGUGAAGUCCCUCGCGGAUGGAGCUGAAAUCAGUCGAAGAUACCAGCUGGCUGCAACUGUUUAUUAAAAACACAGCACUGUGCAAACACGAAAGUGGACGUAUACGGUGUGACGCCUGCCCGGUGCCGGAAGGUUAAUUGAUGGGGUCAGCGCAAGCGAAGCUCUUGAUCGAAGCCCCGGUAAACGGCGGCCGUAACUAUAACGGUCCUAAGGUAGCGAAAUUCCUUGUCGGGUAAGUUCCGACCUGCACGAAUGGCGUAAUGAUGGCCAGGCUGUCUCCACCCGAGACUCAGUGAAAUUGAACUCGCUGUGAAGAUGCAGUGUACCCGCGGCAAGACGGAAAGACCCCGUGAACCUUUACUAUAGCUUGACACUGAACAUUGAGCCUUGAUGUGUAGGAUAGGUGGGAGGCUUUGAAGUGUGGACGCCAGUCUGCAUGGAGCCGACCUUGAAAUACCACCCUUUAAUGUUUGAUGUUCUAACGUGGACCCGUGAUCCGGGUUGCGGACAGUGUCUGGUGGGUAGUUUGACUGGGGCGGUCUCCUCCUAAAGAGUAACGGAGGAGCACGAAGGUUGGCUAAUCCUGGUCGGACAUCAGGAGGUUAGUGCAAUGGCAUAAGCCAGCUUGACUGCGAGCGUGACGGCGCGAGCAGGUGCGAAAGCAGGUCAUAGUGAUCCGGUGGUUCUGAAUGGAAGGGCCAUCGCUCAACGGAUAAAAGGUACUCCGGGGAUAACAGGCUGAUACCGCCCAAGAGUUCAUAUCGACGGCGGUGUUUGGCACCUCGAUGUCGGCUCAUCACAUCCUGGGGCUGAAGUAGGUCCCAAGGGUAUGGCUGUUCGCCAUUUAAAGUGGUACGCGAGCUGGGUUUAGAACGUCGUGAGACAGUUCGGUCCCUAUCUGCCGUGGGCGCUGGAGAACUGAGGGGGGCUGCUCCUAGUACGAGAGGACCGGAGUGGACGCAUCACUGGUGUUCGGGUUGUCAUGCCAAUGGCACUGCCCGGUAGCUAAAUGCGGAAGAGAUAAGUGCUGAAAGCAUCUAAGCACGAAACUUGCCCCGAGAUGAGUUCUCCCUGACCCUUUAAGGGUCCUGAAGGAACGUUGAAGACGACGACGUUGAUAGGCCGGGUGUGUAAGCGCAGCGAUGCGUUGAGCUAACCGGUACUAAUGAACCGUGAGGCUUAACCUUACAACGCCGAAGGUGUUU